This is a long non-coding RNA of Carassius auratus (goldfish), 113 nucleotides long. RefSeq lists it as uncharacterized. The transcript has 2 exons. Lineage: Eukaryota; Metazoa; Chordata; Actinopteri; Cypriniformes; Cyprinidae. The record is from RefSeq and is a predicted model, not a curated record.
AAAAUGUGGUUCUGGGAUCUGCCAAAUGCUCUGUUUCAGUCCUUGGGGACAUAAUGGGUCGUGCGCUAAAUAAUCUUGAUGGCUUGCUACAGAUGCCAUCUGGCUGUGGAGAA